UGCCGUCCCAACGCACUGGAGGCUGACUCACCGGGCACUGAAGUGCUUCCCUCCGCCGAAAGUCCAGGCCUGGCAGCACUCCUCUGCUCCCUGGAGUCCGCUGUGGGUGCCGCAUCACCAGUCCUGCCAUCCGCCAUACUAGGGCAGCGUCACCCCGGAACCGUUGGUGGCCGCGCCAGCCCCCUGAGCACUGAGAUGCUGUGCAGCUGUGCUAGCUGGUCUCCUCCGAUCAUUGGAACAGGACCUCUCCACCCCGGCUGCCUUUGCUCUAGACUGUCUUCUCCUCCUCCUGCGCCAAGGAAUGGAACUGGGGUUCAAGCGUUGGGGCGGAAUAGUCCGCCUCGUGGGCUGGCGCUCCGGACCUCCUGAAGGCCCUGGUACUGGAACAGCAGCUCCCAGGCAUUCCUGCAGCCAAGACUUCCCUCUCUCCUGCCCAGCAGACCUGACCCUCUCAAUCAGAGACUCCAUAGUGGGAUCCAUCUGAAAAAGAAAAGAAGAGACACCAAACAAACUUGCUGCACACAACAACAAGUAAGUCA
This is a non-coding RNA of Pelobates cultripes (western spadefoot toad), 539 nucleotides long. The record is from the annotation of a GenBank genome assembly. NCBI's taxonomy places the organism in Eukaryota, Metazoa, Chordata, Amphibia, Anura, Pelobatidae.